This 654-nucleotide ribosomal RNA is filed under the name uncultured bacterium. Its description in RNAcentral is "bacterial SSU rRNA". It matches the Rfam family "Bacterial small subunit ribosomal RNA", at positions 819 to 1470 of the family's 1533-position model. The record is from RNAcentral.
GGUGUGGGACUCAUUCCACGAGUUCCGUGCCGCAGCUAACGCAUUAAGCGCCCCGCCUGGGGAGUACGGCCGCAAGGCUAAAACUCAAAGGAAUUGACGGGGGCCCGCACAAGCGGCGGAGCAUGCGGAUUAAUUCGAUGCAACGCGAAGAACCUUACCAAGGCUUGACAUAUACCGGAAACACCUAGAGAUAGGUGCCCCUUUUGGUCGGUAUACAGGUGGUGCAUGGUUGUCGUCAGCUCGUGUCGUGAGAUGUUGGGUUAAGUCCCGCAACGAGCGCAACCCUCGUUCUAUGUUGCCAGCGCGUUAUGGCGGGGACUCAUAGAAGACUGCCGGGGUCAACUCGGAGGAAGGUGGGGAUGACGUCAAGUCAUCAUGCCCCUUAUGUCCAGGGCUUCACGCAUGCUACAAUGGCCGGUACAAAGGGCUGCGAUGCCGUAAGGUGGAGCGAAUCCCAAAAAGCCGGUCUCAGUUCGGAUUGGGGUCUGCAACUCGACCCCAUGAAGUCGGAGUCGCUAGUAAUCGCAGAUCAGCAACGCUGCGGUGAAUACGUUCCCGGGCCUUGUACACACCGCCCGUCACGUCACGAAAGUCGGCAACACCCGAAGCCGGUGGCCCAACCCCUUGUGGGAGGGAGCCGUCGAAGGUGGGCUG